ACAUUGAUUUUUAACAAAUUUAUUAGCACUUUUUGUUGCACAUGCAUCUACGGCGGAAGCCACGACAUUUGCCUCCAGUGAACUGCUCCCUUUUGCAGGUGUUUUUACAGUUAGUGGAUGAAAAGCACAACCCCUUGAACUUGCCGCUCGCAGCCUCGCAGGUCCUUUCCUGAACUUCCUUGCUUGACUUACUCCUUGCCUCAACACCCAAUGGCCCCAUCUCUGUCAAAUCCCAUUACAUUAAAUAUAAAGAUCAAAUUUUUUUUGGUCGAAUAAGAUGCGUUAUUGAAAACAUCAUAAGAAAUUAAUUACUUAAAAGUGGUAUAAUUACCGGUAGCGGCUAAAAUCAGGACAAGAACGAAGGCAGCUGAAACAAGACGCGUGGAACGCUCCAUUUGAAUGUGUGUUUAUGUGAGUGUGUGCUUGAUCUGUGUGUUUGUAUGUGCGUGCUUGUGUAUGAUAAGAGGUCUUAGACGCUAAUGCAAAGAACAAUAACCAUGCAAGGCUUAUUAUACAGGGGAUCUAGGGCAGAUUAAAGAGGAUUGGUCUCCAUAAAAAGAGGUAACUCCAUACCCAAAAUAAAAAGUUGAAAUUUUCAGCUUAAUUGGCACCCUAAACCAAAUUUCUAUUUUUGUUGACUAAGUUCUCCGCCCUAUAUUUUUCUAUGCACAUUUAACUUUUGUUUUAAAAGAAUGUAUGGGUAUUAAGAAUAUGUGAGUCUGGAGAAGGUUAGAUAUGUGCAUGUGCCAUGCAUAGUAAUAUUAUUGAUGUUAUCGGGCCAUGCCUUCAAAUAAACGAGGAAAGAGAAAGAAAGAGAAACAACAGGACCAUGCAUGCAUAUUUCUGCGCUCAACUGAAAUGUCUUUCUCUGUCCGUUCUUCCCACACGAACGAUGACAAUAUUCCUUUAUUUCAUAUAAUUUUCCACUUACAUAUUGUAAUUCAUAAUCCUUUAUUCAAUACAUGAAAACACAUGAAUUGGAUUGAUUGGGGCUAGUUGAUAAUCUCAUACACAUUCUAUCUUUUCUCAAAUUUUUGAAUUCUCCGAUAUUCAAACACACAUACCUCAUCAUAUUGUUGAAUAAGAGCUUAUUUAAAAGUACUUUUAAAAUAAUUGAAACGCUUUUGGUGAAAUUAAUUUUGAGUUCUUAAAGCAAGUGUUUUUUGAACGAAGCACCAAAUAUAUGUUUCUUGCAGGAAACAUUUAAAUGCUUUUUAAGGAUCUAUUUGGAUUUUUACUAUGGAUUGGUUUCAAAAGCAUUUUCAUCAAAAUCACUUUUAGUUAUUCUAAAAGUAUUUCCAAACGAACCCUCUACUUAGUGCCAAUAGGAUGAUUAAUUUUGUGUAUCUGACAAAGGAAAAAAAAAACAUCUAUAAGCACAACACAAGAAUGUUAAGAAACAAAAGGAGCAGUAAUGAAAGAAACCCUGUCGAAACAGGGUGAUUUAGUUAAUUAGCAAGAGUGGCCACUAUAUAGAAGGCUUAAUAAAUCUAUCUCAAUACACACAAGCACAGUCCAAAGUCCACAGACUCAUCUCUCGCGCACAGAUUCCAAACUACUAUAUAACAAAGUUAGCAUUGUUUGGCGCACAUGCAUCUACGGCGGAAGCCAUGGCAUUGUCCUCCAUUGAAGCCCUCUGACUUGCAGGUGUUUACGCAGUUGCUUGUGAAAAAGCACACUGCCUUGAACUUGCUGCUCUGAGACUCGCACGUCCUUCUCUUAGAAAGAUUUUUCAGUGUGACCGUCACAUAAAACGGUACACCACGUGUCUUUAUGUAAAUGAUUGGAUAUGUGUGUUAAAAGGUUAAUAACUUAAAAAUUAAAAUUUUUCACCACUUACAUAAAAACACACGGUGUACCAUCCGUAUUCCCAUCACAACUAAAAAAUUUCCCUUCUCUCGACAGCCAUUGGUCCCAUCUCUACCAAAUUCAAACUCAUUAAAACGACAUCAAUCUUUAGCUUAAAAUCAUAUUAAUUAAGAAAAGAGACAUGUUUAAGACUGCUUAUGGAAGGCUUAAAGUGUUUUCACGACAAAAAUGCUUCUAAUUAUAAUUACGUAUGACAGAAAUUAAAAAAACACUUUUGAGUCGUGGAGGCAUGGACGGAGUCAGAAACACUUUUUUAGUGGAGACAACUUUUAAAGAUUAAAUUAAAUUGAAAAUUCAAUACAAUGUAUCUACUUUUAUCCAACUACAUGAUUUUGGACUGGUGUUUAGAACGCUAAAAUUGCCAACCAUUAGCUUACAUGACUAGGAAGGGUGAGAGGAUAGGAAGUAUAUAACGUAAGAGGACAAUUUAUAUUUUUAGUUGGAGCAAUUUUCCAUCAUAAAAAGAGUUGAGUGGUGGCAACUGCCCCCAGUGGGCAUAUGCUGCCUAGUGCCUCCGUCCAUGCGUGGAAGUACUUCAUGUUCAAUAAAUAUUUGUACAUAUUUAUAAUAUUAAUUAUAAAAGGCAAAAGGGUUUAUAAGCAUAAUUGCUUCUUUCAUACCAAUAGUAGCCAAAAACAAGACAUGGACGAAGGCGACUGGAACAAGACGCAUUGAGGACUUCCUGUUAGAUCUAUGCGUGUGUGCUUGUGUAUGAAUUAGAGAUCAGAUUUUGCUGAUACAGACAACUAUAACCAUGCAUAGCUUAUUAUUAUGGGAGUUUUAACGAAAAGCCUAUGGUACUGUUCAUUUUAACGAAAAACCACAUUUUUACACUAAAAAGUCAAACAUGGUACUAUUCACUUUACCCUUUAUUUUGUCCUUAUCAUUAAAACUCAAAGUUUUCAAGUCAUUUUCAUUAGUUUUCCUUAUUAUAUAUGGAAAGAAGAUCCAUUUCCGAAAACGGAUCUCAGCUCCAUACCCAAAAUAAGCAGUUGAAAAAUUCCAGCUUAAAAGGCACCACAAACCAAAUUCCUAUUUUUGUUAACUAAGUUUUGGCUUCAUAAUUUAGAUUACUGUAACCUAAUUACAAUUUUCAUAUACAUAACAACUUUUUAACAAGUUUACAGUUAAGAUUUCAAACUUAGGGUUGGUUAAAAACUUAGGAUCAUAAUAUUGAUAAAUAUAAGUUCUUACAAAUGCAUACUAUAGCAAUACCACACAUACCAUGUAGAGAAUAUGUAGAGAAGUGGGAGCAAAAUGUGUUAGUGUUUUAAAAAUAGGUAAGAAUAAUGAAAACACUACACAAGACAUAAAAUUAAUGAUCCAUGCAGGGUCAUUCAAUUUAUUAGCAAAAGCUACCCUGUGGAUACAGAGUCAUUUCAAUCCAUCUCAUUACACAAACACAAUCCCAACAAAUAUUACAUUUUUUUUAACAAAUUAAUUAGCACUUUUUGUUGCACAUGCAUCUACGACGAAAGCCCUGGCAUUGGCCUCCGGUGAAUUUCUCCACUUUGCAAGUGUUUUUACAGUUGGUAGACGAAAAGCACAACCCCUUGAACUUGCCGCUCGCAGCCUCACAUGUCCUUUCCUUAGCUACCUUGUCUGACUUACUCCUUGCCUCAACACCCAUUGGUCCCAUCUCUGUAAAAUCAAAUUACAUUAAAUAUAAAAAUCAGCUUUUUGUCAAAUAAGAUGUUUUAUUCAAAACAUCAUAAGAAGUUAAUUAUUAAAAAGAGGUAUAAUUACCGGUAGCAGCGAAAAGCAGGACAAGAACGAAGGCAGCUGAAACAAGACGCAUAGAAUGCUCCAUUUGAAUAUAUGUUUCUUUGGUGUGUGAUAUGUGUGUUUGUGUGUGUGUGCUUGUGUAUGAUAAGAGAGAUCUCAAUCGCUAAUGCAAAGAACAAUAACCAUGGAAGACUUAUUAUAUAGGGGAUAUAUGGCAGAUUAAAGAGGAUUGAUCUCCGUAAAGAAAGGUAGCUCCACGCCCAAAAUAAAAGGUUGAAAUAUUCAGCUUAAUUGGCACCAUAAACCAAAUUCCUAUUUUUAUUGACUAAGUUCUCCAAACUACAAUUUUCUAUGCACAUUAGGUUCUCUUUUUCAAGCACAUUUAACAUUUCCUUUAAAAUAAUAUUUGGGUUAUAAGCACAUUUGGCUUAUUAUUCAGAUUUUUAUAUGUAAACGAAGCGCCAUAUAUAUCUCAUCGGAAAGACCAUAGUUCUUAUAACGAUAUAAUUUUUUUUUUAAAUUUUUUUGUUUGUUUAUACCAUAAUAAUUUAAAUUAUAUAGAUAAGGAUUUGAACAUUAGGUAUAGAGAAGAUUAUUACGUUACAUUAGCUAACUUGGCUAAGCCUAGUAAAAUGAAUUUAAAAGUAGAAUAGUGGAGGAAAUAAUGAUUAAUUAUAUUUCAAACAUAGGACAUUACAAAGACUUAAAUUUGUUGACAAAUAAAGAAGUUACAUAUAGCAUGUCAUAUUGUAUAAAAUAAUUCAUGACGGUGCUACUUAACAAACAAGAACAUUAGAAACCAUAACAACGAUACAAUAUUAACAAUCCAACUAUGACUUGGGUCAUUUAUUUAUUCCGGCUAGCUCCACACUAGUACCAAAGUACAUAUGUCCAUGAACACACUGUUAAUUAAGUGAUUAGUGAUCAGCUUAUCAAUAGCUUAAUUAAUUAGCUAAUUAACAAUGUCCAGUGCAAAAGCAUAUACGGCGUAAUUAAGCCACGACAGUGGCCUCUGGGGUGUAAGAAGGAUGAAGUUCAAAAGUGUGAUCCAAAUGAAGAGACUAUCAAUGGUUAAAAUAAAAGCCAUGUCAAAAGAUUAAAUCAGCUAAAAUACAUUUAGUUAGUUAGUUGGAAUCUGGAGAGGUUAGAUAACUUGGUUAGAAGAAGUUAGUUGAGAUAAGGAGGUUAUGAAUUACUUGCUUCACAAGUCUUGUAGCUGAACACAUAUAUAAGUGAGCGUUGUAAAUCAUACGGUAUUAAGAAAGAAAGCUUUUAUCUGAUAUACAUCUCUAUCUCUUUUUCUCUCUCUGUUCAACCUUUUCUAUUUCUCUCUGUGAAACUAUCUUAACAUGGUAUCAGAGCCGGACGAUCCGGUGCUUCCGCUUCCUACACAUUUUCUUCUCUUCUCUACCCUCUAGUUUGCAUCUUUCUGUGAUAUUUGGCGUUGGAAACAUACCAGUCGCUUCGAAGGUUGGUUUCUUCUCGUUUGCCCACCAACUGUUUGAUCAAAAGUCUCAAUCAAAGUUCGUCACGCAAAUCUGCAAAAUGGUCACUGCUGCUCAAUUGCAAAUUGUUCAGUUUCCUAUUACUGGUCUUCUCUCCACCGUCUCCACUUCUGUUACAGUAAAACUCGAUGAUUCAAACUAUCUUACAUGGAGCUUUCAAGUUCGAUUGCUUCUGGAAAGUCAUGGCAUUAUGGGGUUUAUCGAUGGUUCACGAAAGUGUCCACCAAGAUUCAAUGAAGAUUCUAACACUGAAGGGAUUGAAACUGAUGACUAUUUAGUCUGGAAAAUGCACGAUCGUGCACUAAUGCAAUUGCUCAUAGCCACAUUAUCAACGACUGCCAUUUCAUGCAUCAUUGGGUGCCAGAGUUCUGCAUAAAUGUGGUUGAAUCUUACUGAGCAUUUUUCUGCGGUGACAAAAGCUACAAUCUUUCAGAUGAAGACAGAGCUUCAGAAUAUCAAGAAAGGGUCUGAAUUCGUUUCUGUUUAUCUUCAAAAGAUUAAGGAUGCAAGGGAUUAUCUUGCUGCAGCUGGAGUAUUAUUUGAUGAUGAAGAUAUCAUUAUUCUUGCAUUGAAAGGAUUACCUUCAGAUUUCAACACGUUCCGAUGUGUGAUCAGAGGACGGGAAAAUGGAAUAUCUCUCAAAGAUUUCAGGUCUCAACUUUUGGCAGAAGAAGCAAUCAUCAAUCAAUCGUUUGACAGUUCUCCUGGUUUGUCCUUUGGUAGUACUAUGGAGGACCAAGUUCUGCCAGUCAUAGUCAAGGGUCUACUCACGGUAGUGGAUCGUAUAACACUUUCAAUGGUGGUUAUCACACUUAUGGUAAAGGGAGUUCUUUCAGAGGCAGAGGGAAAGGCCGUCUUCAGUACAAUUCAACUCCAAGAUUUUCUAAUGGUAAUCCCGGUAUUCUUGGUACUCCAAAACCAUACCAGUCCUACUGUCCGGAUCACCCAUCAGAAAUCCCCACCUGUCAAAUAUGCAACAAAAAGGGUCAUGUUGCUGCAGAUUGCUUCCAAAGACAUAACACCACCGCCUCAAACUCUCCUAUUCAAUGCCAGAUAUGUUGGAAAUAUGGACACUCAGCCCUUCAAUGCUACCACAUGAGUAAUUUUGCCUAUCAAGGGCGGCCCCCAACUCCUAAUCUCACAGCUAUGCAUGCAAAUCAUCAACCUUCAGCACCAACUUAGCAAUUUUGGAUUGCAGAUACUAGGGCUACAUCACACAUGACCUCUGAAUUGGCAAACCUGGAUCUAUCUACUCCAUAUCAAGGGUCCGAUACAAUUACUACUGCUAGUGGUGCAGGUUUGCAUAUUUCAAAUAUUGGCACUUCUACAUUGGUUGCCCCACAUCAUUCUCUCACUCUUAAGAAUGUUUUACAUGUUCCAAAGCUUUCCCAGCAUUUGUUAUCAAUUUAUCAACUAUGCAAGGACAAUAAGUGUCGAUUCAUUUGUGAUGAUGUUUCUUUUUGGGUUCAGGACAAAUCCACAGGGAAAAUACUCAUCCAGGGGCUGUGUAAAGCUGGUUACUAUCUUAUACCUUUCAUCUCAUCCCACAAGCAGUCAUCCUCAUCAUCUGCAUCUCAUUCAUGUUUCCUUGCAAAACCGGUUCAUUCAAGUAUAUGGCACAAAAGGCUAGGGCACACAUCCAACGCAAUUACUUCUGCAAUCCUUCAUCAAUCUCAAGUUUCUGCAUCAUUAGAUACAUGUUCAUCACCUUGUACACCAUGUUUAGAGGGCAAAUUUACCAAAUUACCUUUUCGUAUUCCUGUUUCUAAAUCUGUACACCCUUUAGAGAAAAUCCACAGUGAUGUAUGGGGCCCUGCUCAUUUGCUAUCUUAUGAAGGAUUUAGAUAUUAUGUAACCUUCAUAGAUGAUUGUACUCGUUAUACAUGGAUUUUUCCAUUACGAAAUAAAACAGAAGUCUUUGCAACCUUUGUUCAGUUUCAUGCUUAUUUGAGUACCCAAUUUUCUGCUGUAGUCAAAAUAUUCCAAAGUGAUGGUGGUGGUGAAUAUACAAGUAAUAAGUUUCAACAGUUUUUGGCACAACAUGGCAUUUUACAUCACAAAUCAUGUCCUUAUACACCUGAAUAGAAUGGUUUAGCAGAACGAAAACAUAGGCACAUUGUCGAAAUUGCAAUCACCUUUAUUCAAACUGCAAAACUGCCUAACCAAUUUUGGGUUCAUGCUUGUGCUACUGCUUCUUAUCUGAUCAAUCGAAUGCCAUGUGCUUUAUUACAUAUGAAAUCCCCUUUUCAAAUGCUAUAUCACACUGUUCCUGACAUUAAACAUCUCCGAGUCUUUGGUUGUGCGUGUUUUCCUCUGCUAAAACCAUACAAUACCUCUAAAUUUCAGCCUAAAACAGCCACUUGUGUGUUUUUGGGAUAUGCUAGUCAAUACAAGGGCUACAUAUGUCUUGAUUUUAUUACGGGCAAAUUAUAUGUCUCUAGACAUGUGUUGUUUGAUGAAGCUAGUUUUCCAUACUCAAAUCCCAUAUUUUCUUCUUCUUUUCAAAUGUUUCCUGCAUCAUCUCAGUUACAUUCAUCACAAAGUCCAGUGCAUCCACCAUAGUUCACACCAAUCAUUACAUUAUCAAAUCAAGUAUCAUCACCCUCAUCUCAUUCAUUAUCAUCUCCGACCACAGAAUCUUUGCCUAUGCAUUCAUCUAGUGCUUCAGAAUCUCUUUCUGCAUCUCGAGCCUCAAAAUCAUUGGAUACAGUUGCAUCUCGAGCCUCAGAGUCCAUUUCUUUACCUUCCCAUGAACACACUGCAGUACAUGCACCCAGGGACUUAUCACCAAAUCCCAUGCCCUUCUCUAGUGUUGGUACAUAGCACCCUAUCCAUGUGGAUCCUGAUUUUCACCCUGAGAGUCUAAGUGUGGUUUUACCUAUACCACUGAAUGUUCAACCUAUGCAGACAAGGUCGAAGAAUGGGAUGUUCAAACCGAAAGUGUUUUUAGCCACAGUUACUUCUGAACCUAAAACAUUUAAAAGUGCAACACUGAUUCCUGAAUGGCAUCAUGCAAUGAAAGAGGAAAUAUCAGCUCUUCAUUCUCAAAAGACUUGGACUUUGGUACCCUUACCACCUGCUAAGAAUUUAGUCGGGUGUAAAUGGAUUUACAAAAUCAAGAAACAUGCAGAUGGCUCCGUGGCAAGGUAUAAGGCACGGCUUGUAGCACAGGGAUAUAGUCAAGAAGAGGGAGUUGAUUACUUAGAGACUUUUAGUCCGGUAGUGAAACCUACAACUAUACGACUGAUAUUUGCCUUAGCUGCUCAAUUCAAGUGGACUCUUUGGCAGUUAGAUGUUAAAAAUGCCUUUCUCCAUGGCAUCCUUUAAGAGGAAGUGUAUAUGGUGCAGCCUCCGGGGUUUGAAAGUACAUCACAUCCCUCAGACUAUGUUUGCAAACUUCACAAAUCAUUAUAUGGCCUAAAGCAGGCUCCUCGAGCCUGGAAUGAGCGAUUUACCAGUUUCUUACCCAGUUUGGGAUUUCAGGUAUCCUCGGCUGAUCCGUCUUUGUUUGUACAACAGUCUACAAAGGGCACUCAACUAAAAUACAUAUAGUUAGUUAGUUGGAAUCUGGAGAGGUUAGAUAACUUGGUUAGAAGAAGUUAGUUGAGAUAAGGAGGUUAUGAAUUACUUGCUUCACAAGUCUUGUAGCUGAACACAUAUAUAAGUGAGCGUUGUAAAUCAUAUGGUAUUAAGAAAGAAAGCUUUUAUCUGAUAUACAUCUCUAUCUCUUUUCUCUCUGUUCAACCUUUUCUAUUUCUCUCUGUGAAACUAUCUUAACAUGGGGAAGCCCUCAGUUUGGCAAACAACAACAUAAUUACUUUUUCUCACGUAGGUUCCCAUGAAGCGAUUAGUUUGAGACUCCAUGUCCUACCCUCAACAACCAUCGUCCGUUUAAACAAUUAUCAAAACAAAAUAUGGUAAAUAUGAAUGCUUAAAAUCGUAAUAAUAUAUGUUAACAAUGAAAUUGAGUAACAAUAUUGAGGAAGAAGAAGUAUUACUGGUGGCCACCAAAAGCAACAGGAAGACGCAGGUAGUUGGGAGAAAACGCAUGGACCGUUUUCUAUGUAUCUGUAACAAGUUUGUAGUUAAGAUUUCAAACUUAGGGUAACUCAGAAUGAUAUUAUUGAUAUAUAUAGGUUCUUAUAAAUUCAUAAUAUAGGAAUACCCAAGGAUGAAACCAAAGAUCUAUAUGGACAUGGGCAUCCUAUAAAACAAAAUCAUACAUAUUAAAAAGCUCAAGAAUUUACUAACAAAACACAUAUAUUAACCCAUAAAAUUUUUCGUAUAACAUAUUACAAUAUCACACGACGCAUUUUCAAGUUUUGAAAGUAUUGCAUGACAAUUUCAUUACCAAUACCAUCAAAUAUCUCUUCUUCUUUUUUAAAUAUCCAUGUUAUUAUUCAUCCAUAAUUUCCUUCUGAUUUUUGAAUUGAUUAUUUGAAAAUUUCAUAGCUUAAAAUGCUCUAUCACGUAAAAUUACUAUAUGUACAAUUUUUUUCACAAAAAAAACUGAGUUGGGGCAUCCGCCUCUUGGGCCCAAGGUGGCUCCGUCCUUAGCAAUACCACACAUGCUAUGUAGAGAAGUGAGAGAAAAAUAUGAAAGUGUUUUUUUUUUUCAAAAAAAAUGUGGAAGAGUCUUUUGAAAUGUCAUCAAGAAAACAUUAUCUUAAAAGACCAUUUCUUCUAAAAUAAAGUAAAAAACAAUUAAUUAAGUCCUUGCUUAAAAGUUGCUUAAGCAACUUCGAACCUUUACUAAUUUUUUUCUGGUGCAUCAACCUCACCUUGUCUUACAUAUGCUGUUACCGGUUUAAAAGUCAAAAGAAUAUAAUACAACCGAAGGUGUGGAUAAAAAAGUACAUUUGAAAUUGACAAUGUGACUUAACAAUUUUUGAGAUACAAAUUAAAGUAAUGUGUUGAAUCCAAGUACACUAAGUGAAAUAUUUUCAACAAUGCCUUGUCAAAAUGGCAAAAAAGUUUCGUUAUUAGCAUUUGACGAUAAUUAUCAUGCACUCUUUCUUAAUGGAAAGACAGUAAACAAAAGAAGAGUAUGUGGUGAUUAUCUGGAAUGUUAGCAAUAACCCUGAAGAAAAAUAUGAUAAUAGGCGAUUAAAAAUGCAUAAGGUGCGGUGAAAAUACUAAACAAUACAUAAAAAUAAUGAUCCUUGGAGGGUCAUUCAAUUUAUUAGCAAAAGCAAGCCUGUGGAUACAUGGUCAUAUCAAUCAAUUUCAUUACACAAGCACAAUCUCCACACAAAUUACAGUUCUAUUUAUACCAAAUCAAUUAGCACUUUUUAUUGCAUAUGCAUCUACGACGGAAGCCAUGACAUUCGCCUCCAAUAAAUUUUUCCGUUUUGCAGGUGUUUUUACAGUUGGUAGACGAAAAGCACAUCCCCUUGAACUUGCCGCUUGUAGCCUCGCAUGUCCUUUCCUUAACUGCCUUGCCUGACUUGCUCCUUGCCUCAACACCCAUUG
Molecule: long non-coding RNA, 10571 nt
Filed under: Malus domestica (apple)
Lineage: Eukaryota; Viridiplantae; Streptophyta; Magnoliopsida; Rosales; Rosaceae
Description: long non-coding RNA (MDOM_LNC011718)
Source: RNAcentral